Long non-coding RNA from Nylanderia fulva, 1989 nucleotides. RefSeq lists it as uncharacterized. The record is from RefSeq and is a predicted model, not a curated record. NCBI's taxonomy places the organism in Eukaryota, Metazoa, Arthropoda, Insecta, Hymenoptera, Formicidae.
CCCCGCGGUGCGCGCAGGCGGAACUAUCGAUCUGCGGUUUGACGCCUGAACUCGAGUGCCGCCCGGUGAAUUAACCCCAAAUUAUAGACCCGACAAUAUAACCCAACAGGGAAGAUGGAGGGAGGAAGGGAAGCGGGGUAGAGGCGACGUAGCUGGGAUUAGCCCAGUUGAUUCGUGUCGCGGCUGUUUGCUCACGGCGUAAAUCAGAAUGCGCCAUUGCACGCGUGCCACGCCCCGAGUUUCGCGAGGCCUCGCGUCUCGUAUCUCGUAUUAUCUCGUCGCGCGCGAACACGAGAGUCAUUAUUGCGUUGCACCGUCGUCAGCGCGAAUCGACCGACUGCACAUACUGUGCGACGCGGGCAUCGGAGAAUGUAAGCUCGCGAAUUGGAUUGCCGAGGUGUAUACAUACGCCGAGUGUGAUACAUUUCCAAAAAGUAGAGAUUUUUUAUGCGUAAGGUAUAUAGAUAUGGCAUAUGUCGAGCUUUUCGAACAAAGCGAACGUGAGACAUUGAGUGAUUGAGACUUUGGAAGAGAUAUAAACUUGUGGAAAAGUGAAAUUUUCCCAGGAAGCUUUCAACAUGCACGUGGAUAGCCACCGUGUGGAUUUAGGCCUGUUAAAUAGAGAGAAUCCCACAUAACCUCCAAACUUCCCCCAAAGGACGGGGAUAUGCGUAAUGCAUUUCCUACUCAAAAUAAAGGCAACACACAAUAAAUUUCUUAAUUUUAUAUAUUAAGGAGAUCCCUCAGCGAACGACGACAAAAUAAUAGCGCACUCAUUUUGGAAUUAAAAAUAUUGGUAAUUAUCGACUGAUUCUUGAAGAAUAAUUACAGAUACUUUAAACUAUAAAUCAUCCCAGAUCAAACAUGUAUUAAAAAUCUAUGUAUACAUAUGGCACACAUGGAGUCACUUUCUGCUACGUUUAAUACUAUAUUAUAAGUUUGAAGGUAAAUAUGUAUUGCUGUUUUUGGUUCUAUUAUACUUACAACGCACGCACACGUACGUACAAAUCAUAAUACAAACUGUAUUUAUAUGGAACUUUUAAUCUAAAUUUAGAAGAUAAUGCUUUUUUAUGUAUGUUAAUCUCAGGGAUCUUGUGUUUAUAUUUAUACAAAAUGUAUAUUUUUUAUAUAAAGUAUAUAAUAUUAGGUCCUUGAAUAAGUUCUCGCUGUUUCUUAAAAGAUGGCGUAGCGGCACUCUGUGCAUGGAAUUUCGUACGGAAACGCAUCAGCUAAGUAGUACUAUAUGUAACCUCAAAUUCUAGUAGAUACAGUUUACCACAGUGUCAACCACGUGUUUAAUUACCUAUUGCGAAAAUGUCUACUUUUGUGCCAAAUAAAGUGUUUUUGCGGGGAAUUUUAUUGCACUGCUUUAUUCAAAAGAAAUCUGCAGCUGAAGCACACAGAAUUCUUGUUGAAACAUAUGGUGACAAUGCUCUGUCGAAUACGACAUGCAGAGACUGGUUUAGGCGCUUUAAAAAUAAUGACUUUGACCUUGAAGAUAAAGAACGUUCUGGAGCACCGACAAAGUUUGAAGACGAAGAAUUGGAGGCAUUGCUGUGUGGUCUCUAAUGAUGGACAAUACUUUGAGUAAAGUUAUUGUAAGCCUUAUAUUUUAAAUAAAUGUUUUUUUUAACAAAAAAAACAGCGAGAACUUAUUCAAGGACCUAAUAUGAUGAGUUGACAGCUCAUCUGUCAUUCGAGACGUCACAUUGAGGUAAAAGUAGAUAAGGAAAGCUAUAAUUUCAUAAUUAUUUCUCGUUUAUCAUAUGAAAUUGAACUUUCCUGGGAUCAUUGAUAUAUGUAUUGCAAUUGUAGAGAAGCAUUUUUAAUACUGUCAAAUUAAUGCGACAAAAGAUUAGAAGUACGAAAAUAAUAGUUGGUUGAUAAAGCUGACAAUCGUGAAGAAUCCCCUUAAACAAAGUUAUAAAAUGUGUCUAAUUCUUUAAGGUAUAAUGGUUUGAAUCAAUAAAAAGACAAAUGCAUACUUUA